CUUCACUUAAAGCAUUAUUCAAAUAGCAAAUUAAAAGAUAGAAAGUAAACUAAAGCAUACAAAGAAAAUUUUGUUUUACAGAUAGAAUGGAAAUGCAACUAGUCAACACUGAUUAUCUUAAGUGCAGAUCCAGUUAAGUUGCUUCAUUUCUGGUGUCACAUAAUGCACCCAUUUUUCAUCCUUUGUCACAAUAUAGUGCAGGAACUGCACUCUUCACGGUGUCAGAUCAUACGCAUGAGAGAUAAUCUCAUCUUUGUGGUUUUGUGAUCUUCUAUGAGUUGCCUCAGUAUCCAGCAUGAUCACUUUUUUCCUGUAUCCCAGUUACUCAUGAAUAAUAUUGUACAUAGUUCCCACUGAUAUGUAGAUGACAUGUAUAUUGUAUAAAAGGAAUGCCACACAGAACAUACUCAGUGAUAAAUAUGAAUAUGUUCUGUAUGGAGUUUAUAGAUGAAACUUUGGAUUUAUGCUUAAAAUGGAACCAGAUUGAGUUGAAUAAUAUCAAUUUCCUUGAUGUAAAUGUAGACAUAACAGGCCUGGAUUGUAAAACUACUCUAUAUAGGAAGCUUUCAUAUUUCCCAGUCAUAAUUCCAGCACAGUGCACAUCUCAAUAUGUGCAUUGUGUUGGAUCUGUAAAUCAUUAAUAGACGAAUUUCUGUUAAGUAUAAUCAAACUUUGCUAGGACUGGGCUAAAAAAUAGAGAGGAAAAUAUGGGUUGAAAUGGUUUUGUGGUCAGGCCAUCUUAUUUUCACAAAUCAAGACAGACAAGACCUUGUCAGCCCAGAUAAGAAAUCAGAUAUUUAUGUUAGGUAACAGAAAAUAAAUUACUGGUCAGAUGGAGAAAUACAUUAGUAAGAUCUCUAGGGUGUUAAGAAAGAGAAUUUCUGAACAUAAAACAGAUAUAGGGGCAGGUAAUAUGAACAUUGUACUGGCUAUAAGGUUUUAUGAGAUUAAUUUUUCAGUAAAGUGGGAUAGGUAAAAAUUAUAAAAUAUAUGCCUCUUUGGAAUUGGAAAUCUACUGCAGAAGUCUUAUGCAUACAGAAAAGAGAAUAAAUUGUUGUGAUUAUUAAAAAUGCUUGAGGUAAUGCCAUUAUCCAAGCAUUGGUGCAUAAGAAAUGCCCUAUGAUAUAUGGUAGAAAAUAUUAAUUCUAUUUUAUCAGACUCAAAUUGCAUAAUUAUACUUAUUUAAUAAUUUGAAUGGUUUUACUUUCCACCAACAUGUGAUUCAUUUUGUG
RNAcentral lists this long non-coding RNA (1232 nucleotides) under Androctonus crassicauda. The record is from RNAcentral. Lineage: Eukaryota; Metazoa; Arthropoda; Arachnida; Scorpiones; Buthidae.